GACGAACUGUCCUAACGUUGUUCGGAAUUACUGGGCGUAAAGGGCGCGUAGGCGGCCUUCUAAGUCGAACGUGAAAUCCCCGGGCUCAACCCGGGAACUGCGUCCGAUACUGGAAGGCUUGAAUCCGGGAGAGGGAUGCGGAAUUCCAGGUGUAGCGGUGAAAUGCGUAGAUAUCUGGAGGAACACCGGUGGCGAAGGCGGCAUCCUGGACCGGUAUUGACGCUGAGGCGCGAAAGCCAGGGGAGCAAACGGG
This 253-nucleotide ribosomal RNA is filed under the name uncultured prokaryote. RNAcentral's name for it is "partial 16S ribosomal RNA". It matches the Rfam family "Bacterial small subunit ribosomal RNA", at positions 524 to 776 of the family's 1533-position model. The record is from RNAcentral.